GGGGGCGUAGCGCAGCCAGAACUAUGUGUGGUUAAGCAGCGCGGCUGGCUCCAGACCAGCAAGUCGUGGGUUCAAAUCCCACCGCCCCCA
This 90-nucleotide transfer RNA is filed under the name Candidatus Freyarchaeota archaeon. Its description in RNAcentral is "tRNA-Trp". It matches the Rfam family "tRNA". Rfam says of the family: Transfer RNA (tRNA) molecules are approximately 80 nucleotides in length. Their secondary structure includes four short double-helical elements and three loops (D, anti-codon, and T loops). Lineage: Archaea; Promethearchaeati; Candidatus Freyarchaeota. The record is from RNAcentral.